UGGAACCCAGCAGUGCUGUGGGAUCUCAGGAAGCAGAGCUCUGGGCAUCUCCACCAUGGACUGGAUUCCUCUCCUGCUCCCCGUCCUCACUCUCUGCACAGGCUCCAUGGCCUCCAGUGUGUUGACUCAGCCUCAUUCGGUGUCAGUGUCCCUGGGACAGACAGCUACCAUCACCUGCUCUGGAGAGAUACUGUCAGAAAGAUAUGCAUAUUGGUACCAGCAGAAGCCAGGCCAACCCCCUGUGCAGGUCAUUUAUAAGGACACUGAGCGUCCCUCUGGGAUCCCAGACCGAUUCUCUGGCUCCAGUUCAGGGACCACACACACCCUAACCAUCAACGGGGCCCAAGCCGAGGAUGAGGCUGACUAUUACUGUCAGUCAUCAGAUAGCAGUGGUGAAGCUCACAGUGACACAGGCAGAUGGGGAAGUGAGACAAAAUCCCCUUCCCUGCCUGUGUCUCAACCUCCUCCAACCCCAGGAGGACUAUGCACAGAGCAGGGGGCAGGUUUAGUCUAG
Non-coding RNA from Lontra canadensis (Northern American river otter), 514 nucleotides. NCBI's taxonomy places the organism in Eukaryota, Metazoa, Chordata, Mammalia, Carnivora, Mustelidae. The record is from the annotation of a RefSeq genome assembly.